RNAcentral lists this ribosomal RNA (91 nucleotides) under uncultured bacterium. RNAcentral's name for it is "partial 16S ribosomal RNA". The record is from RNAcentral.
CCCGUCACACCAUGGAAGCCAGCUGUACCCGAAGUCACUGUGCCAACUGCAAAGAGGGCAGGUGCCGAAGGUAUGGGUGGUGAUUGGAGUG